UAGCUUAAAUGGUAGCGCGUCCGCCUUUUAAGCGCUAGAUCGCGGGUUCGACUCCCGC
RNAcentral lists this transfer RNA (58 nucleotides) under Diaphorina citri (Asian citrus psyllid). It matches the Rfam family "tRNA", at positions 8 to 63 of the family's 71-position model. Rfam says of the family: Transfer RNA (tRNA) molecules are approximately 80 nucleotides in length. Their secondary structure includes four short double-helical elements and three loops (D, anti-codon, and T loops). The record is from Rfam by way of RNAcentral. Lineage: Eukaryota; Metazoa; Arthropoda; Insecta; Hemiptera; Psyllidae.